UUUUUUUCAUUGAUUACACCAUCAGCACAAUAUCACUUGCCUCUUCCAUUUUCAUGGCUUCUUUUCUCAUAAACCUUUUCACACUACACUGUUUCAAUUCCCCCAAAUUCAAUUUCUCUGUCAGACUCGUUUCAUCCUUACCCCAAAAUAUCCAACGCAAAAAUUCUCAAAUCCAAUAAACCAAAAAAACCUCUCAGCACUCUCUUCUCUAAACUAAUGUCAGGUAAACCAAGAAACCAAC
RNAcentral lists this long non-coding RNA (241 nucleotides) under Medicago truncatula (barrel medic). RNAcentral describes it as "long non-coding RNA (MTRU_LNC001254)". Lineage: Eukaryota; Viridiplantae; Streptophyta; Magnoliopsida; Fabales; Fabaceae. The record is from RNAcentral.